RNAcentral lists this ribosomal RNA (253 nucleotides) under uncultured bacterium. RNAcentral's name for it is "partial 16S ribosomal RNA". It matches the Rfam family "Bacterial small subunit ribosomal RNA", at positions 524 to 776 of the family's 1533-position model. The record is from RNAcentral.
UACGUAGGGGGCUAGCGUUGUCCGGAUUUAUUGGGCGUAAAGAGCGUGUAGGCGGCCAGGUAGGUCUGCUGUGAAAACUCGAGGCUUAACCUCGAGAUGUCGGCGGAAACCAUCUGGCUAGAGUCCGGAAGAGGAGAGUGGAAUUCCUGGUGUAGCGGUGAAAUGCGCAGAUAUCAGGAAGAACACCGGUGGCGAAGGCGGCCAACUGGACGGUGACUGACACUGAGACGCGAAAGCGUGGGGAGCAAACAGG